This 893-nucleotide ribosomal RNA is filed under the name uncultured bacterium. Its description in RNAcentral is "bacterial SSU rRNA". It matches the Rfam family "Bacterial small subunit ribosomal RNA", at positions 8 to 916 of the family's 1533-position model. The record is from RNAcentral.
AGAGUUUGAUCCUGGCUCAGGAUGAACGCUGGCGGCGUGCCUAAUACAUGCAAGUCGAGCGAACCACUUCGGUGGUGAGCGGCGAACGGGUGAGUAACACGUAGGUGAUCUGCCCACCAGACGGGGACAACGAUUGGAAACGAUCGCUAAUACCGGAUAGGACGAAAGUUUAAAGGUGCUUCUGGCACCGCUGAUGGAUGAGCCUGCGGCGCAUUAGCUAGUUGGUAGGGUAAAGGCCUACCAAGGCGACGAUGCGUAGCCGACCUGAGAGGGUGAACGGCCACACUGGGACUGAGACACGGCCCAGACUCCUACGGGAGGCAGCAGUAGGGAAUCUUCGGCAAUGGGCGAAAGCCUGACCGAGCAACGCCGCGUGAAUGAUGAAGGCCUUCGGGUUGUAAAAUUCUGUUAUAAGGGAAGAACGACUUUAGUAGGAAAUGGCUAGAGUGUGACGGUACCUUAUGAGAAAGCCACGGCUAACUACGUGCCAGCAGCCGCGGUAAUACGUAGGUGGCGAGCGUUAUCCGGAAUUAUUGGGCGUAAAGAGCGCGCAGGUGGUUGAUUAAGUCUGAUGUGAAAGCCCACGGCUUAACCGUGGAGGGUCAUUGGAAACUGGUCGACUUGAGUGCAGAAGAGGGAAGUGGAAUUCCAUGUGUAGCGGUGAAAUGCGUAGAGAUAUGGAGGAACACCAGUGGCGAAGGCGGCUUCCUGGUCUGUAACUGACACUGAGGCGCGAAAGCGUGGGGAGCAAACAGGAUUAGAUACCCUGGUAGUCCACGCCGUAAACGAUGAGUGCUAAGUGUUGGGGGUCGAACCUCAGUGCUGAAGUUAACGCAUUAAGCACUCCUCCUGGGGAGUACGGUCGCAAGACUGAAACUCAAAGGAAUUGACGG